AGUCCACAAAGCUUAGCAGCACAAAUCUCCAAAAUCUACGAUUAGCAUCAACAUUUCAGCUUCAGGGUUGAGGAUUGUAGCGAAGAUGCUGCUCAUAGUAGCCAAUCAACAGAAGGGGGUUAUUGGCCUUCAGAUGUUUAUCAUCAACCAGGACUUCUUGACCAUCAGACCUGAUAGCUUUGAAGGUAAUCGCCACCUGCUGUUG
This 205-nucleotide unclassified non-coding RNA is filed under the name Hevea brasiliensis (rubber tree). The record is from RNAcentral. Lineage: Eukaryota; Viridiplantae; Streptophyta; Magnoliopsida; Malpighiales; Euphorbiaceae.